GAGUUUGAUCCUGGCUCAGGAUGAACGCUAGCGGCAGGCCUAAUACAUGCAAGUCGAGGGGCAGCACGGUAGCAAUACUGGUGGCGACCGGCGCACGGGUGCGUAACGCGUAUGCAACUUACCCUUUACAGGGAGAUAGCCCGGAGAAAUUCGGAUUAAUACCCCAUAGUAUAUUUAGAAGGCAUCUUUUAGAUAUUAAAGAUUUAUCGGUAGAGGAUGGGCAUGCGUGUCAUUAGCUAGUUGGUGAGGUAAUGGCUCACCAAGGCGACGAUGACUAGGGGUACUGAGAGGUUACACCCCCACACUGGUACUGAGACACGGACCAGACUCCUACGGGAGGCAGCAGUAAGGAAUAUUGGACAAUGGGCGAGAGCCUGAUCCAGCCAUGCCGCGUGCAGGAUGACGGUCCUAUGGAUUGUAAACUGCUUUUGUAUGGGAAUAAACCCAGGUACGUGUACCUGGCUGAAUGUACCAUAAGAAUAAGGAUCGGCUAACUCCGUGCCAGCA
This 507-nucleotide ribosomal RNA is filed under the name uncultured Bacteroidia bacterium. Its description in RNAcentral is "bacterial SSU rRNA". It matches the Rfam family "Bacterial small subunit ribosomal RNA", at positions 9 to 513 of the family's 1533-position model. Lineage: Bacteria; Pseudomonadati; Bacteroidota; Bacteroidia. The record is from RNAcentral.